GUACUCGCUUCGGCGGUACAUAUACUAGAAUUGAAACAAUACAGAGAAGAUUAGUAUGGCCCCUAUGCAAGCAUGACACGCAAAAUCGUGAAGCGUACCAUAUUUUU
Non-coding RNA from Trichobilharzia regenti, 107 nucleotides. Lineage: Eukaryota; Metazoa; Platyhelminthes; Trematoda; Strigeidida; Schistosomatidae. The record is from Rfam.